This 301-nucleotide ribosomal RNA is filed under the name uncultured bacterium. RNAcentral's name for it is "partial 16S ribosomal RNA". It matches the Rfam family "Bacterial small subunit ribosomal RNA", at positions 509 to 808 of the family's 1533-position model. The record is from RNAcentral.
CAGCAGGCCGCGGUAAUACGGAGGGGGCUAGCGUUGUUCGGAAUUACUGGGCGUAAAGCGCACGUAGGCGGCUUGGUAAGUUAGAGGUGAAAGCCCGGGGCUCAACCGGGGAGGGUCAUUGGAAACUGGGAAACUUGAGUGCUGAAGAGGAGAGUGGAAUUCCACGUGUAGCGGUGAAAUGCGUAGAGAUGUGGAGGAACACCAGUGGCGAAGGCGACUCUCUGGUCUGUAACUGACGCUGAGGAGCGAAAGCGUGGGGAGCGAACAGGAUUAGAUACCCGCGUAGUCCCUGUCUCUUAUA